GUUAAUGAAGUAGAGAGGAAGUUAUAUCUGAUUUGCAAUCAGUGGAUAUGGUAACA
This 56-nucleotide transfer RNA is filed under the name Phoneutria boliviensis. RNAcentral describes it as "tRNA-Ala". Lineage: Eukaryota; Metazoa; Arthropoda; Arachnida; Araneae; Ctenidae. The record is from RNAcentral.